CAGUCGCCACGGUAAUACGGAGGGGGCUAGCGUUAUUCGGAAUUACUGGGCGUAAAGCGCACGUAGGCGGCUUUGCAAGUCAGAGGUGAAAGCCUGGGGCUCAACUCCAGAAUUGCCUUUGAGACUGCGUCGCUCGAAUCCGGGAGAGGUGAGUGGAAUUCCGAGUGUAGAGGUGAAAUUCGUAGAUAUUCGGAAGAACACCAGUGGCGAAGGCGGCUCACUGGACCGGCAUUGACGCUGAGGUGCGAAAGCGUGGGGAGCAAACAGGAUUAGAUACCCGAGUAGUCCCUGUCUCUUAUAU
Molecule: ribosomal RNA, 301 nt
Filed under: uncultured bacterium
Lineage: Bacteria
Description: partial 16S ribosomal RNA
Rfam family: Bacterial small subunit ribosomal RNA
Source: RNAcentral